GCUAUGUUUCAUCUUUCUUCUCUUCACUUAUUUCUUUUUGGCCAUGCACAUACGCAUCAUGUUCUCAAAUAUUCAAAGAUACUGGUCACAGAAUGCGGUGAAUGUUGCACAGGGAGUGGCCCCAAAUAGCCAAUUGUAAUAGCCGGGGUUGCGGCUAACUGAUGCUUAAACAAGUGUAGCUUUCCUUUUACAAGCCUGAGUUGUUUUAUAUUAUUGCCCUUUAUAAAUUGACAACAAUUGCAACGUUAUGGGUUUUUAAUCUUGUAAUCUGCCACAGGUUUGGUUUUGUGGAUGUUUAAUCUUAUCAACCAUGUGCAAAUUUCUCAUUGAA
This 331-nucleotide unclassified non-coding RNA is filed under the name Hevea brasiliensis (rubber tree). Lineage: Eukaryota; Viridiplantae; Streptophyta; Magnoliopsida; Malpighiales; Euphorbiaceae. The record is from RNAcentral.